This 2114-nucleotide long non-coding RNA is filed under the name Hordeum vulgare. RNAcentral's name for it is "long non-coding RNA (HVUL_LNC018198)". Lineage: Eukaryota; Viridiplantae; Streptophyta; Magnoliopsida; Poales; Poaceae. The record is from RNAcentral.
GAAAAACUAACAUCUACACACUGUUUGGUUGCCCAUGUCUAGGCCUCUCGCAUUAAGGGAACAAUCUUGGCAUAGCGUUUGGUUGCCUAUGUUUGCAUGGCUCAUGCAACUAGAUGGUACUCCCUCCGUUCCUAAAUAUAAGAUCUUUUAGAGAUUGUAUUAUAAACUACAUACAGAUGUACAUAGACAUAUUUUAGAGUAUAGAUUUAUUCAUUUUCCUCCGUAUGUAGUCUUCUAGUGAAAUCCCUAAAAGGUCUUAUAUUUUGGAACGGAGGGAGUAUAAGUCUUUUUGAAGGUUCCACUCUAAAAUUACAUAUAGAUGUAUAUAGACAUACUUUAAAGUAACAUUCACUCAUUUUAUUCCGUAUGUAGUCAACUAAUGAAAUCUCUUAAAAGACUUAUAUUUAGGAACCGAGGGAGUAUUUAGUUGUAUACACGGGAUAUGAGUAACAACUAACACUUGCACUAUACAGACACAACUACACCUUGUCUCCCGACUAUGGUGCACGGUGACCGUAGCGUCGCCUCCGACAAGCCGAGCAAGGAUUCCCGGACGGCGCGCCGAACUAGUUGCUAACGUCGUUGCCAUACAGAAAGUCCGUGCGGAGGAGCGUUGAGGCAGAAGAUAGGGGUGGAGAAAUGCAGUGUGUGUCAGACCAUGGCAACUGUUGUGGAUGAUGACUGCGGUGCCGCGCCCAACAUGACGAGUACGGAGACUCACGCAAGCAUUCCUAUCAACGCUGAGGCGAACUAAUUGCUAGCGUCGCCGCCGCAGAGAAAGUACGUACGGAGGAGCACCGAGGCAGAGGACGAGGAAGGAGAAAUGCAGAGCGUGUUGGACCAUGAUAACUAUGGUGGACGAUGGUCAUGGUGCCGCGUUCGACACGACGUGCACGAGCGACCCCAUUGGCGGCGGGCGAACUUGUUGGUAUCUCGUUACCGCAGAUAAAGUUCGCAUGAAGAAAAUGGACAGAGGAAUAGAAAUGCAGUGCUUGUGCAAUGGUAGCUUCAGUGCAGUAGGACGAGAAAGGAUGCCAAGAUGACCAACGUAAAAAACGACUCCUUUGUAGUAAGAUGCGGGCAAGGGGGUAAAGAGAAACAACGCCGUCAGCUAAAGGGGUGAAUAGGAGGGUUCUGAGACAGAUGACACAAGAGAAAAAACACAGUGUGUGCGUCAUGGUGACGCUAGUGUAGUAGGACGAGAGAGAGGAGGCCAAGUGUAGUAGGAGGUCCAGAGGAACGGUGCGUACGACGAAAGGAAUGAAUAGGAGGGUUCUGAGGCACGGGACACAGGAGAAAAAAUACAGUGUGCGUGUCAUGACGGCGUCAUAGGACCUUGAAACAUAAAACUUACAACACGAAUGUCUUGUGGAACUGCGUUAUGAAGCUGCCGGUCAAAGAAAAUUUUAAAUGGUCGACCAUGCACGGAAAAUUUGAAAAAAUCCUUCCAAAAUAGCUUCAAACGUGAACACAAAAUUGAGAAUUUAAGGUCGACAAAAAUGAAACCACAACAUCGAUGUGCAUGUUUUUAUCUCGAGCUUAUCACAAAUAGAUUAGAGGGAAGAAGGAAGAAAGAAGGUUAGGAACAAGCUUAGUGUCGGUAGAAAAAGAAGCACGAACACAGCUUGCAUCCCUCCAACCUCCUCUCGUGCAAGGGGCCUAUUCAUGUGCAUUCGUUGUGCAUUGCUCGGACUAGCUCUCUAGAAACUGCUUAUUCACACGUAGUUGCGUGCCCUGGCUUGGAGAUGCUUUAAAGUUCGUGCCAUGCAGGUGUACGCGGGCAGCCAAUCAGUCCGUUUCCUUUCCGCGAGGAUCUAAUUGAGCCUUAUGCGAGCAACCAAACAAGCCUCUACUGCUUUAACAGAUGAGAUCAAGUAUGAUAUGAUUUUAUCAAAGAUUUCUCGUGUUUUAUCACUCUUGUGUAUCAUCAUGGGAUUGAUAUUAUGGACUAGAGAUAGUAUACCAGGUUGUUGUUUUAAAUAUGUUUUCUAGCGUUCUGUUUAAAGAUGUAUAUUUUCUUGAAAUAUGUAUAUGCAUUGUGUCCCAAACAUGUGAUGCCUACUGGCUUGCAUACAAUAGCUUGCACAAGCGGAGGGGGACGUUUGGCUCUCGGG